Molecule: ribosomal RNA, 371 nt
Filed under: uncultured bacterium
Lineage: Bacteria
Description: bacterial SSU rRNA
Rfam family: Bacterial small subunit ribosomal RNA
Source: RNAcentral
GGAGGGGGCGAGCGUUAUUCGGAAUUAUUGGGCGUAAAGGGCGCGUAGGCGGCUUGACAAGUCAAAGGUGAAAUCCCUCGGCUCAACUGAGGAACUGCCUUUGAAACUGUCUGGCUUGAGGCCGGGAGGGGGUAGCGGAAUUCCCAGUGUAGCGGUGAAAUGCGUAGAUAUUGGGAGGAACACCAGUGGCGAAGGCGGCUACCUGGACCGGUUCUGACGCUGAUGCGCGAAAGCGUGGGUAGCAAACAGGAUUAGAUACCCUGGUAGUCCACGCUGUAAACGAUGAGCACUAGGUGUCGUGGGUAUUGACCCCCGCGGUGCCGCAGCUAACGCAUUAAGUGCUCCGCCUGGGGACUACGGCCGCAAGGUUA